Molecule: ribosomal RNA, 497 nt
Filed under: uncultured bacterium
Lineage: Bacteria
Description: partial 16S ribosomal RNA
Rfam family: Bacterial small subunit ribosomal RNA
Source: RNAcentral
GAUGAACGCUGGCGGCGUGCCUAAUACAUGCAAGUCGAGCGAACAGACGAGGAGCUUGCUCCUCUGACGUUAGCGGCGGACGGGUGAGUAACACGUGGAUAACCUACCUAUAAGACUGGGAUAACUUCGGGAAACCGGAGCUAUUACCGGAUAAUAUAUUGAACCGCAUGGUUCAAUAGUGAAAGACGGUUUUGCUGUCACUUAUAGAUGGAUCCGCGCCGCAUUAGCUAGUUGGUAAGGUAACGGCUUACCAAGGCAACGAUGCGUAGCCGACCUGAGAGGGUGAUCGGGCACACUGGAACUGAGACACGGUCCAGACUCCUACGGGAGGCAGCAGUAGGGAAUCUUACGCAAGGGGCGAAAGCCUGACGGAGCAACGCCGCGGGAGUGAUGAAGGUCUUCGGAUCGUAAAACUCUGUUAUUAGGGAAGUACAAAUGUGUAAGUAACUAUGCACGACUUGACGGUACCUAAUCAGAAAGCCACGGCUAACUACGUG